AACGAACGCUGGCGGCAUGCCUAACACAUGCAAGUCGAACGAGACCUUCGGGUCUAGUGACGCACGGGUGCGUAACGCGUGGGAACCUGCCCUUAGGUUCGGAAUAACUCCCCGAAAGGGGUGCUAAUACCGGAUAAUGUCUUCGGACCAGAGAUUUAUCGCCUUUGGAUGGGCCCGCGUUGUAUUAGCUAGUUGGUAGGGUAAAAGCCUACCAAGGCGACGAUCCAUAGCUGGUCUGAGAGGAUGAUCAGCCACACUGGGACUGAGACACGGCCCAGACUCCUACGGGAGGCAGCAGUGGGGAAUAUUGGACAAUGGGCGAAAGCCUGAUCCAGCAAUGCCGCGUGAGUGAUGAAGGCCUUAGGGUUGUAAAGCUCUUUUACCCGGGAUGAUAAUGACAGUACCGGGAGAAUAAGCUCCGGCUAACUCCGUG
Molecule: ribosomal RNA, 433 nt
Filed under: uncultured bacterium
Lineage: Bacteria
Description: partial 16S ribosomal RNA
Rfam family: Bacterial small subunit ribosomal RNA
Source: RNAcentral